Molecule: unclassified non-coding RNA, 21 nt
Filed under: synthetic construct
Source: RNAcentral
CCCCCCCUUUCUUUCCUUUCC